RNAcentral lists this ribosomal RNA (700 nucleotides) under uncultured bacterium. Its description in RNAcentral is "bacterial SSU rRNA". It matches the Rfam family "Bacterial small subunit ribosomal RNA", at positions 94 to 828 of the family's 1533-position model. The record is from RNAcentral.
AGUGGCGGACGGGUGAGUAACGCGUGAGAAUCUGCCUUCAGGACGGGGACAACAGUUGGAAACGACUGCUAAUACCCGAUGUGCCGAGAGGUGAAAGUUAUUUCGCCUGAAGAGGAGCUCGCGUCCGAUUAGCUAGUUGGUGGGGUAAAGGCCUACCAAGGCGGCGAUCGGUAGCUGGUCUGAGAGGAUGAGCAGCCACACUGGGACUGAGACACGGCCCAGACUCCUACGGGAGGCAGCAGUGGGGAAUUUUCCGCAAUGGGCGAAAGCCUGACGGAGCAAUACCGCGUGAGGGAGGAAGGCUUUUGGGUUGUAAACCUCUUUUCUCAAGGAAGAAGAACUGACGGUACUUGAGGAAUCAGCAUCGGCUAACUCCGUGCCAGCAGCCGCGGUAAUACGGAGGAUGCAAGCGUUAUCCGGAAUCAUUGGGCGUAAAGCGUCCGCAGGUGGCACAUCAAGUCUGCUGUCAAAGACAGAAGCUCAACUUCUGAAAGGCGGUGGAAACUGGUGAGCUAGAGUACGGUAGGGGUUGAGGGAAUUCCCAGUGUAGCGGUGAAAUGCGUAGAUAUUGGGAAGAACACCAGUGGCGAAGGCGCUCAACUGGGCCGUAACUGACACUCAGGGACGAAAGCUAAGGGAGCGAAAGGGAUUAGAUACCCCUGUAGUCUUAGCUGUAAACGAUGGAUACUAGGCGUUGCUU